UUUUUAGUAUAAGUAUAUCCCAUGCAAUAUUUAGGAUAUACUUAUAACUGAAA
Non-coding RNA from Sus scrofa (pig), 53 nucleotides. NCBI's taxonomy places the organism in Eukaryota, Metazoa, Chordata, Mammalia, Artiodactyla, Suidae. The record is from Rfam.